RNAcentral lists this ribosomal RNA (484 nucleotides) under uncultured bacterium. RNAcentral describes it as "partial 16S ribosomal RNA". It matches the Rfam family "Bacterial small subunit ribosomal RNA", at positions 30 to 507 of the family's 1533-position model. The record is from RNAcentral.
AUUGAACGCUGGCGGCAGGCCUAACACAUGCAAGUCGAGCGGAUGAAGGGAGCUUGCUCCUGGAUUCAGCGGCGGACGGGUGAGUAAUGCCUAGGAAUCUGCCUGGUAGUGGGGGAUAACGUCCGGAAACGGGCGCUAAUACCGCAUACGUCCUGAGGGAGAAAGUGGGGGAUCUUCGGACCUCACGCUAUCAGAUGAGCCUAGGUCGGAUUAGCUAGUUGGUGGGGUAAAGGCCUACCAAGGCGACGAUCCGUAACUGGUCUGAGAGGAUGAUCAGUCACACUGGAACUGAGAAACGGUCCAGACUCCUACGGGAGGCAGCAGUGGGGAAUAUUGGACAAUGGGCGAAAGCCUGAUCCAGCCAUGCCGCGUGUGUGAAGAAGGUCUUCGGAUGGUAAAGCACUUUAAGUUGGGAGGAAGGGCAGUAAGUUAAUACCUUGCUGUUUUGACGUUACCAACAGAAUAAGCACCGGCUAACUUCGUG